CUAAGUGAAUAACCUAAGCAGAACUUCCAUUCUCACAAAAAUCAUGUCAGGCUAUAGAAGGUAAGAAACUUUUCACAACCCUGAACAAUGAGUUAGUUACUCAAAGACAGUAAGUUUGUUUUAGAGGAGAAACAGCACUGGAUACAACACAUUCUGGAGAGAAACCACAGCACAAAAAAGGAUGCCGGGCUUCUCCUACAAGGUUCUGACUCCAUUCCAAAGGACAGCCAAGAGGAAAUUCUCCAAGGAAACAGAGGCAGUAAACACCAUGGUAAUACCUAGCUAUCAAAAGAAACAAACAGAGUCCUGUAUCACAGGCAGACAAGUUGAGACAACACCCUGACGUUCUUCUCUUGAACAGACAAGACUCAGAAUUCGGCACAGCUCUGAAGCCUAAAGAAACCACGCACUCUACAUGAAAUGUGCUCAGAAAAAUGAUUUUAGAGACUUGAUCUGUAUGAUGGUCUUGGUAUACUAACUCCCUGAGAAGAGCUGAAUGUAUUAUUGCAGCCAUCAAGCGCACAAACAAUAAGCAUGCAACUCAUACCAAGGCACUCCCAAAAGUGUUUUCUCAAAACUGAACGAACACAGCUAGAGGAGUAGCACAUAUACAUCACAUACUCAAGCUCUAGUGCUUUUUCCAGUAAAUAAUGUAUUUGGGUGUCAGAAGUUCAUAGAGAUAACCUACAAUCAAGAACUAAAGAUGAUGACCCAUCAACAUCACCAGAAAUAAAUGCUGGUACAUGACAAACUAAAUGACAGACACUGUGGAAUUCCUUGUUAAUUAACCACAAAAACUUAUCCAUAAUGUAACAAUGAAUUCAAACUUCUUGCAUACAGUUGAUGUGGCCAGUUGCAAAGAACACAGACUACUUCAGUGUGUCAGAUACAUACAGGCUCAGAUACAGUACUUUUUAGUGUAUUUAUUAAAUAUUCAUACUCAACACUUAAUGCUCUUUAUCUCAUACAGAACACAUUCUUAAACUUGUAAACAACUUCAAUAUAUCCUAAGUUACAAGCUGUUUUCUUAAGAAAGCAAAAGUGAAGAAACUGGCAAGUUUCUGAAGGCUGAAACACCCUUUGUCAUUUAUAUUUGAUAAAAUCAAGGCAUUGAUCUGCAAGUUUGCAAAUUAUAACAAACCAAA
Molecule: long non-coding RNA, 1145 nt
Filed under: Columba livia (rock pigeon)
Lineage: Eukaryota; Metazoa; Chordata; Aves; Columbiformes; Columbidae
Description: partial uncharacterized LOC102086784
Source: RNAcentral